GGUCAAGUGAAGAAGCGCAUACGGUGGAUGCCUUGGCAGUCAGAGGCGAUGAAAGACGUGGUAGCCUGCGAUAAGCUUCGGGGAGUCGGCAAACAGACUUUGAUCCGGAGAUCUCUGAAUGGGGGAACCCACCUAGGAUAACCUAGGUAUCUUGUACUGAAUCCAUAGGUGCAAGAGGCGAACCAGGGGAACUGAAACAUCUAAGUACCCUGAGGAAAAGAAAUCAACCGAGAUUCCCUUAGUAGUGGCGAGCGAACGGGGAUUAGCCCUUAAGCUUCAUUGAUUUUAGCGGAACGCUCUGGAAAGUGCGGCCAUAGUGGGUGAUAGCCCCGUACGCGAAAGGAUCUUUGAAGUGAAAUCGAGUAGGACGGAGCACGAGAAACUUUGUCUGAACAUGGGGGGACCAUCCUCCAAGGCUAAAUACUACUGACUGACCGAUAGUGAACCAGUACCGUGAGGGAAAGGCGAAAAGAACCCCGGAGAGGGGAGUGAAAUAGAACCUGAAACCGUAUGCGUACAAGCAGUGGGAGCCUACUUGUUAGGUGACUGCGUACCUUUUGUAUAAUGGGUCAGCGACUUAUAUUCAGUGGCGAGCUUAACCGAAUAGGGUAGGCGUAGCGAAAGCGAGUCUUAAUAGGGCGUUUAGUCGCUGGGUAUAGACCCGAAACCGGGCGAUCUAUCCAUGAGCAGGUUGAAGGUUAGGUAACACUGACUGGAGGACCGAACCCACUCCCGUUGAAAAGGUAGGGGAUGACUUGUGGAUCGGAGUGAAAGGCUAAUCAAGCUCGGAGAUAGCUGGUUCUCCUCGAAAGCUAUUUAGGUAGCGCCUCAUGUAUCACUCUGGGGGGUAGAGCACUGUUUCGGCUAGGGGGUCAUCCCGACUUACCAAACCGAUGCAAACUCCGAAUACCCAGAAGUGCCGAGCAUGGGAGACACACGGCGGGUGCUAACGUCCGUCGUGAAAAGGGAAACAACCCAGACCGCCAGCUAAGGUCCCAAAGUUGUGGUUAAGUGGUAAACGAUGUGGGAAGGCUUAGACAGCUAGGAGGUUGGCUUAGAAGCAGCCAUCCUUUAAAGAAAGCGUAAUAGCUCACUAGUCGAGUCGGCCUGCGCGGAAGAUGUAACGGGGCUCAAACCACACACCGAAGCUGCGGGUGUCACGUAAGUGACGCGGUAGAGGAGCGUUCUGUAAGCCUGUGAAGGUGAGUUGAGAAGCUUGCUGGAGGUAUCAGAAGUGCGAAUGCUGACAUGAGUAACGACAAUGGGUGUGAAAAACACCCACGCCGAAAGACCAAGGGUUCCUGCGCAACGUUAAUCGACGCAGGGUUAGUCGGUUCCUAAGGCGAGGCUGAAAAGCGUAGUCGAUGGGAAACAGGUUAAUAUUCCUGUACUUCUGGUUACUGCGAUGGAGGGACGGAGAAGGCUAGGCCAGCUUGGCGUUGGUUGUCCAAGUUUAAGGUGGUAGGCUGAAAUCUUAGGUAAAUCCGGGGUUUCAAGGCCGAGAGCUGAUGACGAGUCGUCUUUUAGAUGACGAAGUGGUUGAUGCCAUGCUUCCAAGAAAAGCUUCUAAGCUUCAGGUAACCAGGAACCGUACCCCAAACCGACACAGGUGGUCGGGUAGAGAAUACCAAGGCGCUUGAGAGAACUCGGGUGAAGGAACUAGGCAAAAUGGCACCGUAACUUCGGGAGAAGGUGCGCCGGCUAGGGUGAAGGAUUUACUCCGUAAGCUCUGGCUGGUCGAAGAUACCAGGCCGCUGCGACUGUUUAUUAAAAACACAGCACUCUGCAAACACGAAAGUGGACGUAUAGGGUGUGACGCCUGCCCGGUGCCGGAAGGUUAAUUGAUGGGGUUAGCGCAAGCGAAGCUCUUGAUCGAAGCCCCGGUAAACGGCGGCCGUAACUAUAACGGUCCUAAGGUAGCGAAAUUCCUUGUCGGGUAAGUUCCGACCUGCACGAAUGGCGUAACGAUGGCGGCGCUGUCUCCACCCGAGACUCAGUGAAAUUGAAAUCGCUGUGAAGAUGCAGUGUAUCCGCGGCUAGACGGAAAGACCCCGUGAACCUUUACUGUAGCUUUGCACUGGACUUUGAGCCUGCUUGUGUAGGAUAGGUGGGAGGCUUUGAAGCGUGGACGCCAGUUCGCGUGGAGCCAUCCUUGAAAUACCACCCUGGCAUGCUUGAGGUUCUAACUCUGGUCCGUAAUCCGGAUCGAGGACAGUGUAUGGUGGGCAGUUUGACUGGGGCGGUCUCCUCCUAAAGAGUAACGGAGGAGUACGAAGGUGCGCUCAGACCGGUCGGAAAUCGGUCGCAGAGUAUAAAGGCAAAAGCGCGCUUGACUGCGAGACAGACACGUCGAGCAGGUACGAAAGUAGGUCUUAGUGAUCCGGUGGUUCUGUAUGGAAGGGCCAUCGCUCAACGGAUAAAAGGUACUCCGGGGAUAACAGGCUGAUACCGCCCAAGAGUUCAUAUCGACGGCGGUGUUUGGCACCUCGAUGUCGGCUCAUCACAUCCUGGGGCUGAAGCCGGUCCCAAGGGUAUGGCUGUUCGCCAUUUAAAGUGGUACGCGAGCUGGGUUUAGAACGUCGUGAGACAGUUCGGUCCCUAUCUGCCGUGGACGUUUGAGAUUUGAGAGGGGCUGCUCCUAGUACGAGAGGACCGGAGUGGACGAACCUCUGGUGUUCCGGUUGUCACGCCAGUGGCAUUGCCGGGUAGCUAUGUUCGGAAAAGAUAACCGCUGAAAGCAUCUAAGCGGGAAACUUGCCUCAAGAUGAGAUCUCACUGGGAACUUGAUUCCCCUGAAGGGCCGUCGAAGACUACGACGUUGAUAGGCUGGGUGUGUAAGCGUUGUGAGGCGUUGAGCUAACCAGUACUAAUUGCCCGUGAGGCUUGACCAU
This 2891-nucleotide ribosomal RNA is filed under the name Pseudomonas aeruginosa. RNAcentral's name for it is "23S ribosomal RNA". It matches the Rfam family "Bacterial large subunit ribosomal RNA". The record is from RNAcentral. Lineage: Bacteria; Pseudomonadati; Pseudomonadota; Gammaproteobacteria; Pseudomonadales; Pseudomonadaceae.